AAGAGGUUGCGUGAGGCCACAUUUGUGGUGACCAUUCAUUGAGUCCGCAGCGCGUACGGCUUAGAUAGUGACUGUUCAUUGCAGCGUAGGCAGUGAACAGACAAAUGGAUUUUGGAAAAAAAGAAGUUUUCGAACGCUACUUAUUUAUUCAUAAUUCAGUGGCUUUGGACCUCCACGUGGUGUUGAGAGGUUGUGUUAGAUUAGCAAGAUAGGCGGAAAAAAGAAGCGCGCUGUUAUCCCCCAAGCUGGCCAAUUUAGCCUUUCUACAAGAGGUCUGGUAGAGGAUUUAUACAUACAUACAUACAUAUAUUAUACAAACAGGGCGUACGCCAAAGUUGAAAGAGUAACAAAUAUAUUAUAUGUACAUAUCUUU
RNAcentral lists this long non-coding RNA (373 nucleotides) under Phoenix dactylifera (date palm). RNAcentral describes it as "long non-coding RNA (PDAC_LNC000916)". The record is from RNAcentral. Lineage: Eukaryota; Viridiplantae; Streptophyta; Magnoliopsida; Arecales; Arecaceae.